AGGCACUUCCUGCUGGCUCCUUCCAGACAAGGAGCCUCUGUUCGCCUUGGGACUGGGGAGCAAACAGCCUCUGACUGUCCCAGCUGGGUAGGCUGGAACUUGGAUGUGCAUUGGCAGGUCUGCAUUGGCAGACCAGAUGUCACCAUACAGACAACAAUAUCCUACAGGACAGAAAAGCUUGAAAGUAAAAGAAACUUUGGUGUUUGAAUAAACCACACAUUUGUCCUGGACAACCUGCCUAUCGUUGAACUGUUACAUGAGAGAAAAAGAGAUUUCUCUCUUAUUUGAACAAUUGCAUUUUCAAGUCUUUUUGUUACAGCAGCAUAACUGAUACCCUAACCCUGACAAAUACAUUUUUAAACAAAAGGAGGAAUGCUACUAUCGUACUCUAUGCUGGUCCAGUCUUACUUGGGGUGCAGUAUUCUCAUCUGUGAAUCACAUUUCAAGGGGCCUAAAGACAAAGUAGAAGUGUUCAGAUAACAGCAACAUGAUUGGUGAGAAAUUCAAAGUUGAAGAAACUGGAAGAGCAGAUUUAGAGUAAGUAGGAGUGCCACUUUCAAAUGUCUGAGGAACUGGCCUGUGAAAGAAUGAUUCACUUUGUUCUGUGUAGUUUCAGUAGAUAGAAGUAUGGUUCAACGGGAAAACUGAUUUUGCUGAAGAGAAAGAUUUCUGGCUGUCAGGUCUGCAUAGACAUUGGAGGCACUGAGUUCCCUGCUCAUGGAGAUAUUUUUCACAGAGCCUGGAUAAUCAUUUGGCUGGAUUUGUAACAACUGUGUAUCAUACAGCAUGAAAAUGCAUUUUCUAGCUUCCCUUGAAGUGAAAUGUGAGCAAAAAUGAUGCCAGCCACUCCCAGACCGGCCCAUAGAAACCUCCCAUAUUCUUUCUUCUUCUGCUGCUGGAUAUUGACACAGGGGAUGACUUUGAAAGCUGAGUAUUGAAGAUGGCAGAAGCUGUCUUUCAGCCUUGGUCCCUGAACAACAUGUUGAGCAGAUCCCGUGGUAAUCUGGAACUGCCCUGGACUGUGUAAGUGAGUGAGACAUAAACUCUUACUAUGCUUGAGCCAUUUUACAUGUAACAGCAGUUAGCUUUCCUUACUUAAUGCUCUUUAUACCCUGCUACUAAAUAGCAAGAAUUGUAACUUUAGAUCACAGGACUAUGUGAAUAGUCAUUAUAUUUGUCAACAACUCUAACAGGCUGAACUUUUUAUUCCUCAGUUAUUUAAAAUUGUGGUAAAAUACACAUAACAUAAAAUUUACCAUCUUACCCAUG
This 1269-nucleotide long non-coding RNA is filed under the name Homo sapiens (human). Its description in RNAcentral is "long intergenic non-protein coding RNA 1258". Lineage: Eukaryota; Metazoa; Chordata; Mammalia; Primates; Hominidae. The record is from RNAcentral.